Molecule: ribosomal RNA, 435 nt
Filed under: uncultured bacterium
Lineage: Bacteria
Description: bacterial SSU rRNA
Rfam family: Bacterial small subunit ribosomal RNA
Source: RNAcentral
AGCGAACGCUGGCGGCAGGCUUAACACAUGCAAGUCGAGCGGGCGUAGCAAUACGUCAGCGGCAGACGGGUGAGUAACGCGUGGGAACGUACCUUUUGGUUCGGAACAACACAGGGAAACUUGUGCUAAUACCGGAUAAGCCCUUACGGGGAAAGAUUUAUCGCCGAAAGAUCGGCCCGCGUCUGAUUAGCUAGUUGGUAGGGUAAUGGCCUACCAAGGCGACGAUCAGUAGCUGGUCUGAGAGGAUGAUCAGCCACAUUGGGACUGAGACACGGCCCAAACUCCUACGGGAGGCAGCAGUGGGGAAUAUUGGACAAUGGGGGCAACCCUGAUCCAGCCAUGCCGCGUGAGUGAUGAAGGCCCUAGGGUUGUAAAGCUCUUUUGUGCGGGAAGAUAAUGACGGUACCGCAAGAAUAAGCCCCGGCUAACUUCGUG